UUGCCAGCAAAAGUGAAGGUAUAUAACAUGUUAAGCAAUGGAACAAGUGCCACAUCGACAAAGCCAAAGUUGUCUCCACCAAAAUAAGGACCCUCAUGCCAUAAGGACUUGGCCAAAAAUUCAAUAGGAUCACCUCAUCUGCCAUUGCUGAGAUAGAAGGCUGCAACAAAAGGGAAAUUGGACUUGGAUGCAGAAGUGAGUGGCUAAGGUGUUUAGUUUGGUUUGUCAAUUUGUAGAGACAAAGUUGAGAAGAAUGACAAAUGAAAUAACAAUAAAUAAUUCAAGCAAAACAAAGAGAUGAGUCCUGGACGGAUAUUUCUAUGCACGUUGUUUCCUAUGAGACAACUUGUUUUUGCAUGAAACUUAACACAAACAAAAAAUACUAAACACAUAACUGAUAACUGACAUGUAGACACCGAUAAUAAUUUAUAUAAUUAAAUGUAAUUAUGUUUCAUGGUGACGUUGAUGUCAGACACCGGUGUGUCAAUCGAUGUGUUAGAAAACAGACAUGCAUUCGAUCUAAAGUGUUGAUGUCAUACUUUCGCAUUUCUUGUUGGGAGUACUGAUGAAACAUUGGUGUUGUUGGGGGGUUCUUUUAAAUACUAUAUAAGUUGUCCAUAACAAGAAAGAAAGUAACAACAAAGCAGAUGAAGCAAAUAUAAAACACAAAACUACAAACAAUUGCACAAAGACUUAGUACUUUAAAGCUUGUUGGCCUGCAGGCAGGCACUAGUACCAUGUCGGAUUCCUCAUAUUCUUCUGCUUGUUUAAAGAUUGUAUAUGAUACUUUGACAACAAAGCCAUUGCUUUUUUGUGUUUAGAUUCAAGGAUAUGCCAAACCAAACAAAUAAUUAAAUCAAUUGAAAAUUGAAAGAAAGAAUCUUAUCUGAUAACAAAAUACAAGUAAAUUUCUUAAGAAGAUCUUAUAUUUAAAGACAAAGGGACUGGUUUCAAUGACAUCAUGCAUAACAAAGCAUAAAAAACUUGAUUAAAAGACCUAUUACAUUUCACAAGUUUGUGAAAACCUUUCCU
Cicer arietinum (chickpea) is the source of this 1032-nucleotide long non-coding RNA. RefSeq lists it as uncharacterized. Lineage: Eukaryota; Viridiplantae; Streptophyta; Magnoliopsida; Fabales; Fabaceae. The record is from RefSeq and is a predicted model, not a curated record.